RNAcentral lists this ribosomal RNA (418 nucleotides) under uncultured marine eukaryote. RNAcentral's name for it is "SSU rRNA". It matches the Rfam family "Eukaryotic small subunit ribosomal RNA", at positions 1 to 479 of the family's 1831-position model. The record is from RNAcentral.
AACCUGGUUGAUCCUGCCAGUAGUCAUAUGCUUGUCUCAAAGACUAAGCCAUGCACGUCUAAGUACAAACUAAAUGAUGGUGAAACUGCAAAUGGCUCAUUACAACGGUUAUGAUGUACCCGGGAGUUCCGAUGGAUAUUUCCAGUAACACUAGAACAAAUACAUGCUCCUGCGUUUAUUAGUUUCGCACAGUCCGUCGCUGAGUCAUGGUAAACAGUUGAUCGACUCGACGUCCCGGAACAGUUUCCGCCCCAUCAGCUUCGAUGGUUGGGUAUUGGCCUACCAUUGCAACAACGGGUAACGAGGAAUUAGGGUUUGAUUUCGGAGAGGGAGCCUGAGAAACGGCUACCACAUCUACGGAUGGCAGCAGGCGCGCAAAUUACCCAAUGCAGACACUGUGAGGUAGUGACGAGAAAUA